AUUUAAAUAGUUUAAAUUAAAACAUUGAUUUGUGGUGUCAAAAAUAUAUUUUUAUAAUAUUUUAAAUU
This 68-nucleotide transfer RNA is filed under the name Orientabia sinica. Its description in RNAcentral is "tRNA-His". Lineage: Eukaryota; Metazoa; Arthropoda; Insecta; Hymenoptera; Cimbicidae. The record is from RNAcentral.